UUGGUGCGACAAUUCCGGCAGCAGCACGGAAGAAGACCGAGCGGAGCCCCACCCAAUCUCUCUCUCUGUGUGCUGCAGUUCAAGACGUCCCAGGUCUGCCCCAUCUCACGCUCCACAGCAGCAAAGAAGUCCGCAAAAGUAGGAGCAGCCCAUGUCUCCGCCUUCAUCGGUCUCUCCUCCCCUCAGCUGCCACCUGCUGACUUCUUGGCUUGCUUCGGUCAACAGCAGCAACAACCGAAGCUCCUUGGUUGACCGCAAAAGCCCACGCCCGUGCAUGGAUCCACCGCCAACGACAGCCUUAGCUCCUCUCGCUCCCAGCUUUUGUUGAAGCCAUGACUGCCCACAUCUCGGUCAAAUUUCCCAUCGAGUGAAGCUCUUUGGUUGAUCGAGCAGCCUUUCUUUGCUACCACUUGGCCGCAUCUGCCUCUCCUUCGGUCAACAAGCGAACACUGAAGACCACCGAGGAAGCCUGCGUCCGUUCGCGAGAAAUUGUCCCCAAAUUUGGUCGGCCACCGAGUCAGCCGAGUUAGGCCAGCGAAGCAGCAUCCACCGAGCAGCUUCCAUCUUCGUCGUGUCUUCAUUUCCACGUAGGCUUCUUCAGCAACAACAGCCUAGCGAAGCCACGUUUCUUCUCUUGCGCAUCUCUAGCCCGUUGAAGUGUCGAAGCCCAGCAGCUCUGUGAUUCCUCAAUUGGGCAGCCACGCACGUUCAGCCCAUUUGGGCCGCAAGUCAGGCCCAACGAAUUCAGCUCUUCAUUUGGCAGCCCUUGCUACUUCUUGCUCGGCCAAAAUAUGCAAUCUUCAAGCCUAGUCCAACAGAUUCUUUUAAUUGUUUGGUCCAACAGCCCAAGAAGCUAGCAAAGCCCAGUGAAUUUCGGCCCAAGCCCAAGAGCGAGUUCAGCCCAAAGUAAAGAACAAAUCUCAGUUGGGCUGAGAUUUGUUGGGCCCAAGCUUAAGGCCCGGUCCAAGUCUGCUGGUGUCGUCGAAAGCCCGAUUUCGGCCGCCGUCGCGCAAUCGUCUCGGUGACCCAGUCUCCGCUUUUAAUCAUGACCUGGAUGAGGAGCCUAAGGAGGAGGAAUCUGACGAGGAGAUCCCUGUUGAGGAACCCGAAGAGGAGUACGUGGAGGAGGACCCCAAGGAUGACCCCGAGUACUACCUGGAUGAGGACUGAGAUCCCGUCCUGUCUUGUCAAACCUUGUUUGCAUGUGAAUAGAUGUUAGAUCAGACUUACGUAUAUAUAGUAUUGUAGAAUACUAUGAGAUGCGUAUAAAAAUGUGUGGUUGUGAAUUUUCAGUAUGAAAAAUAUAUGGCCUGCUUUUCUAUCA
Molecule: long non-coding RNA, 1324 nt
Organism: Eucalyptus grandis
Lineage: Eukaryota; Viridiplantae; Streptophyta; Magnoliopsida; Myrtales; Myrtaceae
Exons: 2
Source: RefSeq, a predicted model, not a curated record